AGAGUUUGAUCAUGGCUCAGAAUCAACGCUGGCGGCGUGCCUAACACAUGCAAGUCGAACGCGAGAGAGGCUUCGGCCUCGAUUGAAUGGCAAACGGGUGAGUAACACGUGGGUGACCUACCUUCGAGUGGGGGAUAACGUCCCGAAAGGGACGCUAAUACCGCAUAACAUCCUGCCUUUGAACAGGCGGAGAUCAAAGCCGGGGAUCGUAAGACCUGGCGCUUGAAGAGGGGCCCGCGCCUGAUUAGCUAGUUGGUGGGGUAACGGCUCACCAAGGCGACGAUCAGUAUCCGGCCUGAGAGGGCGGACGGACACACUGGGACUGAGACACGGCCCAGACUCCUACGGGAGGCAGCAGUGGGGAAUUGUUCGCAAUGGGCGCAAGCCUGACGACGCAACGCCGCGUGGAGGAUGAAGACCUUCGGGUCGUAAACUCCUUUCGAUCGAGACGAACGGCCUCCGGGUGAACAACCUGGAGGAGUGACGGUACCGAGAGAAGAAGCCCCGGCUAACUCCGUGCCAGCAGCCGCGGUAAUAC
This 538-nucleotide ribosomal RNA is filed under the name uncultured bacterium. Its description in RNAcentral is "bacterial SSU rRNA". It matches the Rfam family "Bacterial small subunit ribosomal RNA", at positions 8 to 526 of the family's 1533-position model. The record is from RNAcentral.